RNAcentral lists this transfer RNA (71 nucleotides) under Heniochus acuminatus (pennant coralfish). Its description in RNAcentral is "tRNA-Ser". It matches the Rfam family "tRNA". Rfam says of the family: Transfer RNA (tRNA) molecules are approximately 80 nucleotides in length. Their secondary structure includes four short double-helical elements and three loops (D, anti-codon, and T loops). Further hydrogen bonds mediate the characteristic L-shaped molecular structure. tRNAs have two regions of fundamental functional importance: the anti-codon, which is responsible for specific mRNA codon recognition, and the 3' end, to which the tRNAs corresponding amino acid is attached (by aminoacyl-tRNA synthetases). tRNAs cope with the degeneracy of the genetic code in two manners: having more than one tRNA (with a specific anti-codon) for a particular amino acid; and 'wobble' base-pairing, i.e. permitting non-standard base-pairing at the 3rd anti-codon position. Lineage: Eukaryota; Metazoa; Chordata; Actinopteri; Chaetodontiformes; Chaetodontidae. The record is from RNAcentral.
AAGAAAGUGGCAGAGUGGUUAUGCAGCUGGCUUGAAACUAGCUUAUGGGGGUUCAAUUCCUUCCUUUCUCG